Molecule: ribosomal RNA, 421 nt
Filed under: Citrobacter freundii
Lineage: Bacteria; Pseudomonadati; Pseudomonadota; Gammaproteobacteria; Enterobacterales; Enterobacteriaceae
Description: bacterial SSU rRNA
Rfam family: Bacterial small subunit ribosomal RNA
Source: RNAcentral
CAACGCGAAGAACCUUACCUACUCUUGACAUCCAGAGAACUUAGCAGAGAUGCUUUGGUGCCUUCGGGAACUCUGAGACAGGUGCUGCAUGGCUGUCGUCAGCUCGUGUUGUGAAAUGUUGGGUUAAGUCCCGCAACGAGCGCAACCCUUAUCCUUUGUUGCCAGCGGUUCGGCCGGGAACUCAAAGGAGACUGCCAGUGAUAAACUGGAGGAAGGUGGGGAUGACGUCAAGUCAUCAUGGCCCUUACGAGUAGGGCUACACACGUGCUACAAUGGCAUAUACAAAGAGAAGCGACCUCGCGAGAGCAAGCGGACCUCAUAAAGUAUGUCGUAGUCCGGAUUGGAGUCUGCAACUCGACUCCAUGAAGUCGGAAUCGCUAGUAAUCGUGGAUCAGAAUGCCACGGUGAAUACGUUCCCGGG